GGGGAAGUUGGGAGUCCGCAACGAGCGCAACCCCUAUCUUUAUUUGCCAGCGAGUCAUGUCGGGGACUCUAAAGAAACUGCCUACGCAAGUAGAGAGGAAGGCGGGGACGACGUCAAGUCAUCACGGCCCUUACGUCCUGGGCCACACACGUGCUACAAUGGUAGAUACAGAGGGCAGCUACCCCGCGAGGGGAUGCGGAUCUCUAAAGUCUAUCUCAGUUCGGAUUGGAGUCUGCAACUCGACUCUAUGAAGCUGGAAUCGCUACUAAUCGCGCAUCAGCCAUGGCGCGGUGAAUACGUUCCCGGGCCUUGUACACACCGCCCGUCACAUCACGAAAGCUGGCUGUACUAGAAUCGCCGAGCUAACCCGCAAGGGGGGCAGGGGCCUAAGGUAUGGUUGGUGAUUGGGGUGAACUCUUAACAAGGUACUGUAGAGAACCUGUGGCUGGCAUCACGUCCUUGCUAGAGGGGUGGGG
Molecule: ribosomal RNA, 476 nt
Filed under: uncultured Bacteroidota bacterium
Lineage: Bacteria; Pseudomonadati; Bacteroidota
Description: bacterial SSU rRNA
Rfam family: Bacterial small subunit ribosomal RNA
Source: RNAcentral